AGAGUUUGAUCCUGGCUCAGAACGAACGCUAGCGGUACCCCUUACAUAUGCAAGUCGAACGGGAAUUUUCGAUUAUUUAUAGCUUGCUAUAAGUGAUUUAAGAUUUUUAGUGGCAAACGGGUGAAUAACACGUGAGAAUCUGCCCUCUAAACCGGGAUAUACCUGUGGGAAACCACACUUUAAUACCGGAUAAUUCAACAAAAAGGGAUUUUUGUUGGCAAAGGCUUCGGUCGAUAGAGGAUUUGCUCGCGGCGCAAUUGUUGUUGGUAGAGUAAUAGCCUACCAAGCUAUAUUGUGUAGCUGGUCUGAGAGGACGGUCAGCCACACUGGGACUGAGAUACGGCCCAGACUCCUUAGGGAGGCAGCAAUGGGGAAUUUUGGACAAUGGAGGAAACUCUGAUCCAGGGAUACCGCGUGAGUGAUGAAGGCCUUCGGGUUGUAAAACUCUUUCAGUGGGGACGAAGAAGUGACGUUAUACCCACAAAAGAAACACCGACUAACUCUGUGCCAGCAGUCGCGGUAAUACAGAGGGUGCAAGCGUUGUUCGGAAUUACUGGGCGUAAAGGAUGCGUAGGCUGUUUUAUAAGUCUGUUGUUAAAUACUAAAGCUCAACUUUAGCUCGCAAUAGAUACCGUUAAACUAGAGACCGGAAGAGGCAAGUGGAAUUUCUAAUUUAGAGGUCAAAUUCUCCGAUAUUAGAAGGAACACCAGAAGCGAAGGCGACUUGCUGGGACGGAUCUGACGCUGAGGCAUGAAAGUGUGGGGAGCAAAUGGGAUUAGAUACCCCGGUAGUCCACACUGUAAACGAUGAGAGCUAGAUAUCGGGAUUUUUUAAUCUCGGUUUCGCAGCUAACGCAAUAAGCUCUCCGCCUGAGGAGUAAAGUCGCAAGGCCGAAACUUAAAGGAAUUGACGGGGACCCGCACAAGCGGUGGAACAUGUGGUUUAAUUCGAAGGCACACGAAAAACCUUACCAGUUCUUGACAUAUCCGGUUAUAAACAUAAGAAAUUAUGUUGUCAUUCAGUUGGACCAGAAACAGGUGCUGCAUGGCCGUCGUCAGCUCGUGUCGUGAGAUGUUGGGUUAAGUCCCGCAACGAGCGCAACCCUUAUCUUUAGUUGCUAACAGGUAAUGCUGAGUUCUUUAAAGAGACUGACAGUGAUAAACUGUAGGAAGGUGAGGAUGACGUCAGGUACUCAUGGCCCUUAUGGACUGGGCUACACAUGUGUUACAAUGGUGGUUACAAAAAGAAGCAAGUUAGAAAUAAUGAGCAAAUCUAAAAAAGCCAUCUUAGUUCGGAUUGACCCCUGCAACUCGGGGUCAUGAAGUUGAAAUCGCUAGUAAUCGUGGAUCAGCAUGCCACGGUGAAUACGUUCUCGGGUCUUGUACACACCGCCCGUCGCACCACGGAAGUUGGUUUUUCCGGAAGUCGGUUAUCUAACCUGAAAAGGAGGAAGCCGCCCAAGGAAGGGUCGAUGACUGGGGUUAAGUCGUAACAAGGUAACC
Molecule: ribosomal RNA, 1503 nt
Filed under: uncultured bacterium
Lineage: Bacteria
Description: partial 16S ribosomal RNA
Rfam family: Bacterial small subunit ribosomal RNA
Source: RNAcentral